GCUGUUGUAAAAUGUGUAUAUACAUCUGAAGUAACAUUGUGUGUGUGUGUGUGUGUGUGUGUGUAUAUUUUCCCCCAGUACUGAUUAUUAAACCCAGGGCCUUACAAAUGCUUGGAAAGCAUUUUACCACUGAACUACAUCUCCACCCUUUUUUUUUUCUUUAAUAUUUUUAGUCAUACAUGAACACAAUAUUUUUAUUUCUUCAUUUUUAUGUGGUGCUGAGGAUCAAACCCAGUGCCUUACAUGUGCAAGGCAAGCUCUCUGCCACGGAGCCACAACCCCAGCCUAUCCACCCUUUUUAAUUUUGACACAGUCUCACCAAGUUGCCCAGGCUGAAUUUGAAUCUGCCUCAGCUUCCUGAGUUGCCGGGAUUACAAGCAUGUGCAACUGAAUGCUGCUUCCCAGCAGCUUUUUGAUGGCUUAUGAUAGAGCAGGCUAUGAUUAGCUCAAAUUUUUAAAUAGUUCACAUAUCUAGUGAUGUAGAUAACCCAAUUUACAGUUGCAAAUAAAAAUAUUUUCAUUAUUUGAAUUAUAAGUGGGUCUAUCUGAAAAAAAAAAGAGUCAUGUUUUUAUCUUGAAAUCUGGAAUAUGCUAAAAGUUUCUGUUUUAAAUACUGAAAGAAACAUUUAUAUUCAGAAAUCUGUGAAGUUAAAAAGUAUUGAAAAGACAACUUAAAAGCAGUCCUCUCUAAGAAUGUUAAAUUGAAGUCUGAUAAACUUUCUAAUAAUAAUAGAUCAGAUUUUUCUUGCGUGAGUUGACAUAAAAUAUGAGAAAAAUAUAAAAGAUAAAAUUACCCCUAUGAACUUGGCAAAUAAUAAUCUGGAUAGAAGAUGUGCCAGUGUCCUGAUAUGUGAGUUCUUCAGUGAGGCCAUGUUAUUAUAAUAACUUGAGUAGAGGAGUUCAUUUAAAUAUACUUCUGAAUAAAUAUAUUUAAUAUAGAUCAGUACUGUGUGUGUACUUACUAAUGUUCUAUGUUUACUUGUAUCUUUGUAAAAAUCUGUCACAGAAUUUUAUAAUUUGCCAAGGAUGCUGGGUCUAAUACAAUAUAUACCCCAUUUUAUCAGUUUAAUUAAUUGAAAAUGCUAUGGUCAAGACUAAUAUUCAGAAUGUACAUUUAGAUAUUUUUUUUGGAAUAGGUAUUUGGAACCCAACCAAAUAUUACUUCACAUUGUUUACAUUAAAAAAAAAAGUUAAUUUUUAUAUUUGCUAGUCCAGAAUCUGAUUUUUAUUAAUGGGGUUUAAGAAAAAUGUAUUUUCAUGCUAAGAACAUCAUUUUUACCUAAAUGGAUAGGUUUUGUAGCAUAUAAGGAAUGAUGAUGAUUAAGUCUUUGGCAUAAAAAUAAAUUACCACAUUCUUUUCAUAUAAAAACUUACCUUCACUAAUGUUCAGAGUAUUACUAGAUAUCAUAUCCCAAAAGUAGAAAUAACCCAAAUGUCCAUCAACUGAUGAAUGGUUAAACUGUGAUAUAUAUAAGACAGAAUAGUAUUAAUAAGAAGGAACAAAAUACCAACACGUUAUAUGUAUCCUGAAACUUGAAAACUUUCUGCUGAGUGAAAAAGCAGACACAAAAGCCGAGCACAAUGGCACACACCUGUAAUCCCAGUGGCUUGGGAGGCUAAGACCAGAGGAUUGCAAGUUCGAGGCAGUCUCAGCAAAGUAGAGGCACUUAGUAACUCAGUGAGACCUUGUCUCUAAAUAAAAUACAAAAUAGGGAUGGGGAUAUGGGGAUGUGACUCAAUGAUUAAGUGCCCCUGAGUUCAAUCCCCAGUACCAAAAAAGAAAAAAAGCAGACACACAAGGCCACACAUUGACAUAUUGUAUGAUUAAUGAAAUGAUCAGAAGCAGCAAAUCCAUAAGGACAGAAGCUGGAUGUUUCAUUGCCAGGAACUAGAAGCAGGGGGAAUGAGGAAUGAAUACCAAUGAGUAUAAGGUUAUUUGCCAGAGGGUGAUG
Molecule: long non-coding RNA, 1952 nt
Filed under: Marmota monax (woodchuck)
Lineage: Eukaryota; Metazoa; Chordata; Mammalia; Rodentia; Sciuridae
Source: RNAcentral